Eublepharis macularius is the source of this 2781-nucleotide long non-coding RNA. RefSeq lists it as uncharacterized. The transcript is spliced from 4 exons. The record is from RefSeq and is a predicted model, not a curated record. NCBI's taxonomy places the organism in Eukaryota, Metazoa, Chordata, Lepidosauria, Squamata, Eublepharidae.
UUCAGCUCUUUUGAUCAUCCCAUGUUUGCUGACUUUGCUUUUCCCUCUUUCUCUGCCCUUUCUAAGAACUCUCCUGAAAGGAUGAAGCCUAGAAUGCUUUGCUCUUAGAAUGAGGUUCAGCCGUUUGCUCUGCUUUUUGGCUUAAGGCAGAUUUUAAUGCAUCUCUUCGUGUGGCAAAGUGUGGCAAGGAUGAGAUUAAACAGUAGGAUGGUGUGAAGUUCUGUAAAAUUUUGCCAUCCCCGCCCUCUCACCCUCCUCUUUUCCUGCUCCCUUUCAUGUGUACUCUUGGCUUAAAUUUUUGCAGGGUUUUGGUGCUUUCCAGGGCCACAGUCAGUACAAAACUAGUGUGCGUCAGUUAAUAACAGGUAUGAAAACAUAGGCCGUGAUAAAAGCUUCCAUAUAAAACAAUUAACAUGUUAAAUUGGGGAGCGGGUGGGAUGGGAUGGCUGCAUUCCUUUGAUUCCUUUGUUGGAAGUACGAAUCUGGAUCCAGACAUUUUUAGUGUUUGCUUCUCACUGUGGUUCCCAGGGCAGGAAUGCCGGCAAUUCUAGUGAUGAUCUUUCAGUAUUUCGUAAGCAAUUUAUUCACAGCUUGUAUAGAAGCUUAAGGUUCAAGGUGCAGGAAAUACUGGAGGAACUUGCUAAUUAGAGCAAAAUUGUUCAGAUAAGCACUUCAAUAAACAUUCUUCAUUGUCAUUUUUUAACAUGCGUGUUGCCGCUAAGGGGCUGUUUAUAUCUAAGAAAGUGCUCAUUUAUUUAAAAGCAUUUAUCUCCAUGACACUCUCCUAGUAAAAAUGUUUCUUUGCCAUUAGAACUCUACUACCACAUAUUUUGAAAUAGGUACAUUUUAAAUAGGGUCAAAUUCUAUUUUAAUUUUUUUUUUUUGCAGCUGCAGAUUAAGAAUUUGUCUUGAGUGGAUGCAAGCUUUCACCAAUCUUUUUUUGUUUGCAUCUCCUCUUCUUGCCAUAUCUCACGAGGCUUAUCCCGCUAUCAAUAAAGCUUUGUGCGGUGGCGGUUUAUGAAAUGAUGGGUGUCACUUUGGGGCAAAGGCCUCUGUAUCCUGUAGGUCUGGUGGGGAGGCUCACUUUCCAAGCACUUUCCUCAGAUUUGUUCUCCCCCCCCCCACACACCAUUUUUCUGGUGAUCUGCAUAAAGGCAGUGAAGGCAAUAUGGUUCCACUGUGAUCCCUUCCCUUUUGUCAGUUUGCAAGCACUUCGCUGGUGUGGCUUGACAUGUGCCUCCCUUGCCAGAGCAUUUGCAGGCAGCCUAGAGAGGGAAGGGGUGUCACUGGAAAUCACCUUGCAGCUGGCCAGGUGCUGGCCUAUGGUGAUCUGCAGAGCAUUUCCCUUCCCUUUUCUGGGCAGCUUGCGAGUGCUUACAGGAGAAGCAGUAUGCUCCUGAGGGACUGGGCUCACCAGUGUAACCCGUCCAGGAAGCAUCGCCUUCCCUUUAAUUGAGCUAUAAGUGCCCUUGACGUUGGGACCGCUCUUGCAUUUUUGUCCCUGAUUGGCUCUGAUCACUCAGGAAGAGAGAUGAGUGGGGGAAACAGCAGCACUGCAGUAGCAGUCCAGAGAAGCAGCAAAGGCUUCUCUGGACUGCUUCUGGUUUUGUCAGAAUUUUUUUUUACCAUCUUCAAAAGCACAAAAUCUUGGGCAGACAUUCAAUGGAGCUCCAGUGUCCCAUCUUUCAGGAAAACUAUGCUGGCUCUGUAAGGUUUCAUAUAGCUUAGGUUGAUGUGUCUCAGGCCUACAGUUUACAGGAAGAAAAAAAAAAUCUAUAUUCUUACAAGAAUGGCUCGCAACAACAGAGGCCAUCAAAGUAGCUAGAAACAAAACGGCCUCAGACCCGCACACCCCUUGGGAAAACGCACGGUGGCAUUAGUAGCUUCUUUUUUAACCUGUUUUUUGUCCAACCAGCUCCCACCUGCAGGGAUGGUCUCCAAAGCCUGUUCCUUGAGUACUCCUCUGUCCAGCUUUUGUAAAGGGUGUGGGGCGGAUGUGGGGACAGCGUGGAAUGAACGUUGGUGCUUUAAAGGGGAUCCCCAUUAUAUGUUUUUUUCCUGCAAGCUGAACAAAAACUUCUUCUAUAUACCCUUGUGCUGCAACAGCGUAAUAAUACUGGUAGGUGGCAGCCGAAGAAGGAGCUAAUGCGGAUGGCACCUGGGAACUGAGAAGGCUGCCAUGUGGGGAGCGAUGGAUUCCCAAACAUUAGAUGAUGUAACAGACAAAGAGGAGAGCCAGCGUCCCUGGCCUGUCAAUCUGCAUGGUGGUAGUUACAUCUCACCCCUAUUCUGAACUGAGUCAACUUGCUGGGACUGUCUUUAGAAAAAAACAAGCGAACCUUAAGGCCGCAGGUGAAGAUUUUCUUGCAUCCAAACUGAUCUUUCUGGCAGAAGGAUUUUGAUGCUAGAUCAGCAGCCCCAGAUACGGAAGCUGUCUCAUCGCAAGACAGGUAAUGAACCAGGAGGGAAGGGAGGGGGGCUCUGGGAAGCAGCAUGCUUUUCUAAUAGGAGCUCAUAUUCUCUCCUGUGCCUCUUUCUCCCUCCCCUGGACCCACCCCACUCCCAUCGAUGAAGAACCAUCUCUGUGGCUAGUCUCAGUAUCCUUGAUGGUGGUGGCCACUAGCAACGAAGCCAGCUACUGUGAUGGUGGUUUUUGUGAUUUUCAUUUCUCCAUUUUCCCCUUCCCUUCAGCUUCUGAGUGUUUAAUUACGAUCUCUCUCUCUCUCUCUCUCUCUCUCUCUCUCUCUCUCUCUCUCUCUCUCUCUCUCUCUCUCUCUCUCU